This 466-nucleotide ribosomal RNA is filed under the name uncultured bacterium. RNAcentral describes it as "partial 16S ribosomal RNA". It matches the Rfam family "Bacterial small subunit ribosomal RNA", at positions 28 to 507 of the family's 1533-position model. The record is from RNAcentral.
GAUGAACGCUGGCGGCGUGCUUAACACAUGCAAGUCGAACGAUGAAGCCCAGCUUGCUGGGUGGAUUAGUGGCGAACGGGUGAGUAACACGUGAGUAACCUGCCCUUAACUCUGGGAUAAGCCUGGGAAACUGGGUCUAAUACCGGAUAGGAGCGUCCACCGCAUGGUGGGUGUUGGAAAGAUUUAUCGGUUUUGGAUGGACUCGCGGCCUAUCAGCUUGUUGUUGAGGUAAUGGCUCACCAAGGCAACGACGGGUAGCCGGCCCGGGAGGGUGACCGGCCACCCUAGGACUGAGACACGGCCCAGACUCCUACGGGAGGCAACGGUGGAGAAUAUUACACAGGGGGCGCGAGCCUGAUGCGGCGACGCCGCGUGAGGGAUGACGGCCUUCGGGUUGUAAACAUAUUUCAGUGGGGAAGAGGCGAUAGUGACGGUACCUGAAGAAGAAGCACCGGCUAACUACGUG